UACAGAGGUGGCAAGCGUUGUUCGGAAUUACUGGGCGUAAAGGGCGCGUAGGCGGUCUUGUAAGUCUUGUGUGAAAUCCCUCGGCUUAACUGAGGAACUGCACGGGAUACUGCAUGACUUGAGAUCGGGAGAGGGAAGCGGAAUUCCGGGUGUAGCGGUGAAAUGCGUAGAUAUCCGGAGGAACACCGGUGGCGAAGGCGGCUUCCUGGACCGACACUGACGCUGAGGCGCGAAAGCUAGGGGAGCAAACGGG
RNAcentral lists this ribosomal RNA (253 nucleotides) under uncultured bacterium. RNAcentral describes it as "partial 16S ribosomal RNA". It matches the Rfam family "Bacterial small subunit ribosomal RNA", at positions 524 to 776 of the family's 1533-position model. The record is from RNAcentral.